This is a long non-coding RNA of Syzygium oleosum, 2195 nucleotides long. RefSeq lists it as uncharacterized. The record is from RefSeq and is a predicted model, not a curated record. The transcript has 2 exons. Lineage: Eukaryota; Viridiplantae; Streptophyta; Magnoliopsida; Myrtales; Myrtaceae.
UAAAUGCAAGGGCGGUCCAUACGUGUGCAGAAGGAAAGAAAAUCCAUGUGAUUUUCCAUUAUUCAAUAAUAUAAAAAGAAUAUUUGGCAUCCACCAAGAACACUCAUUCUGCCAUAUAUUCGGGCAUUCACACAUGCACACUUGGAAACUCAGCGAAGCCGAAUGAAGCAGGAGGAGAUCCUAUGCUAUAUUCAAUAGGAAAUCGGCCAAAAGGGUUGAAUGGAAAAGAUUCCUCGCGAAAAUAAAAUCAAAAAUUCUUGGGAAGAAAUUUGAAAAAAGGAAAGCCGGGGUACUGGAAGAUUGAAGAGAAUCAUGGGGAUCGUUCACUAUAUAAGUGGUUGAAGUUCUCUUCAAGAGAAAGGCCACAUAUAUUGAAUACACGGCCACAGAAGUGAGAGAGAGAGAGCUUCGGAGAAUCCCGAGAAGAGAGAGAGUCGCGGAAGGUGAGAACAAUAGAGAGAAGGAGCCUCGGCUGAGACCAUUACUCAGCCGCAAUCUCAUCUCAGCCUCCAGCGACGAGCUGCUACAACAACAAUUUCAUUAUCGGCAGCCAUCAAUAACCGCAGCCGCGAUGUCCUUCCAAACCGAAAACACCAGUUGCAGCCGUCAACCAGCCCGCGAGACCAAGCCGGAGAGGCUGCUGUCCUGCUCGUGUGACCACACCACCCUCCAUUGGCGACCACCUUGCUGCUACCGUGAACCCCCAUAGCCCCGGUGAUCUGCAGUAGUGACACUGCGGCUGUUUAUUUGCCCCGCACCAGUCCACGACGCUCCGGUGAUCCAACUCGGUGUUCCUGAUGAAAAAUCGGCAAGCUUCAGGCGCGCAUCACGGCUUUCCCGGUGUGACCAUCGUGUCCCAUAGCCUUGGCGUGAAGUCCAGCUCAGUCUAUAACAAACCCCCCUCAGUCCCACGAAUUCCACUCUCGGCCAGGACAGAAAGAUUUCACAACAUCCAGGAGGCUCCAGGUGGUGAUUGUGGAACUAUUCAAUGGCUUAAUCCGAGUAAAAGUCAAAUUUUGAGUAUAGAUUCCUGGUGAGCUGAUUCGGUAGAAAGAAGGGGACAAAGGCCAAAAGGUGUUCUUGGCGUCUUCCUGUAGUCCUUCAUCGUGCGUCCGAGGUCUGUCGACAACACUGGAGAAACUCUCGCUCUCGCGCUUAAUUUCCUUCCGCAGGUUUAGCAAACCAGAGCUAUUACAUUUCACGCCGAGCAGCACUUCCAUGGCCAAUCACCAGGCCUUGCACCGCGAGCCACAAAUCCAAAAGUCCCUCGUCGCAAGCCCAAAUUAGCCGAAGUUAAGAGGACUUGACUCAAAUACGCAAAACUAUGUGAUCAGACCAUCCUCUUAACUUCACUUUGCUAAACCUUUUAGAAAGAAAUCGAGCAUCACGUUUCAUGUGCAUGUCUAUGUAAUUGGCAUCAAGGUCAUCGGUGAAGUAAGUCCUCUAACCCUCCGUCUUGCAAUUUACUUACUGCAUAUCUCUGGUCGGUCCAUGGUCAGUCGAGGUUAGCAAUGGACUCGAUGUCAUUUCACUUUGGAAGUAAUAAUUGCAUUUUUUUUUUCAAAAAGAGAGGAAAUAAAGAACCAAGAUUUUUGGUGAAUUUAUUUCCAACUUAUGUUUUCAUUUCCCCGAACAUAUCAUGAGUCAUUGCUUUCCUGAGUAAUUUUUUUUGCCGUUGUUUUUUUCGAAGAAUCCCGUUACUAGUUAUUUCAAAGAAAAUUCGAAAAAUGGCUUGAAAAAUGAAAAAAAAAAUGGAAAAGUGAAAUAGGGCAUCCAGACUGAGUUAUGGACCGAUUUAGUCUGAAGUCAUAUGCUUAUUAUUAUCUCUUCGUAGGUGAUUAUGGAUCGUGUACCAUCAACCGUUCGUACGUGGCCACAAGCAAAAAAUACCGAUCAAAAUGAAGUGUUGAAUCGUGUUGCUAAUGACAUGAACAAGCGAAUUGCAAGCCACCAAAGUCAAGGUGAUGAGCUGCGUCCUACUGUUGCUUGUCUAGUCAAGCAAAAGCGUCGUGUUGACAUGGAUAAGAUAGUUUCCUAACUAGACCAGGAUUGCAUGUUUUGAAUUUAUCCAAUUAGACCUAUCUUCUAGAUUAGACUGCAUGUUAGGGUACUAUCUAUUUAAUAAAGAUAAGUUUCCAAAUUAAAAUAGGAUUUAAUGUAAAUUAUUUCUUAGUUUGAAUAGUAUAACUUUUCAA